Molecule: ribosomal RNA, 509 nt
Filed under: uncultured bacterium
Lineage: Bacteria
Description: bacterial SSU rRNA
Rfam family: Bacterial small subunit ribosomal RNA
Source: RNAcentral
AGUACAGACGAGUUUGAUCCUGGCUCGGAUUGAACGCUGGCGGCAUGCUUUACACAUGCAAGUCGAACGGUAACAGGCCUUCGGGUGCUGACGAGUGGCGAACGGGUGAGUAAUGCAUCGGAACGUGCCCAAUCGUGGGGGAUAACGUAGCGAAAGUUACGCUAAUACCGCAUAAGCCCUGAGGGGGAAAUGGGGGACCGCAAGGCCUCACGCGAAUGGAGCGGCCGAUGUCAGAUUAGCUAGUUGGUGGGGUAAAGGCCCACCAAGGCGACGAUCUGUAGCGGGUCUGAGAGGAUGAUCCGCCACACUGGGACUGAGACACGGCCCAGACUCCUACGGGAGGCAGCAGUGGGGAAUUUUGGACAAUGGGCGCAAGCCUGAUCCAGCCAUGCCGCGUGCGGGACGAAGGCCUUCGGGUUGUAAACCGCUUUCAGCCGGAAAGAAAUCGCCGUUUUUAAUACAGACGGUGGAUGACGGUACCGGAAGAAGAAGCACCGGCUAACUACGUG